Molecule: transfer-messenger RNA, 353 nt
Filed under: Sphingomonas hankyongi
Lineage: Bacteria; Pseudomonadati; Pseudomonadota; Alphaproteobacteria; Sphingomonadales; Sphingomonadaceae
Rfam family: Alphaproteobacteria transfer-messenger RNA
About the family: Bacterial tmRNA, also known as 10Sa RNA or SsrA, is named for its dual tRNA and mRNA-like properties.
Source: RNAcentral
UUCCUUGAGAUUACAGGUCAAAAAUCCUAUCUUAGGUAGGCCGGGCAACCGGCUAUGUCGGUAGAUUGUUGGGUGGAAUAGGCAUUUCGGACCCGGGGGGCAGUACCCCGGCGCCUCCACCACCAGCCGCCGCUUCGAACGGGUUUCGACGGCUGCUGAUGGGGGCGAAAUAGGAUCGACGAGUGCAAUAAAGGCCUGAUUGCCGAUCGGAUUGAGCCACCGUGACGGUUCAUUCACACAAGUGCCAACGAUAACGAGGCGCUCGCUAUUGCUGCGUAACUGACGGCCUAACGGUCUGAAGUUACAAAGCUAAAGCGCGGUUGGACCCCACCGGGCAACAGAAGGGGAUUCCA